GCCUGAGGGGCUCAGUCAGUGAAGCGUCUGACUUCGACUCAUGUCAUGGUCUCACAGUUUGUGGGUUCGAGCCCCACGUCAGGCU
This 85-nucleotide transfer RNA is filed under the name Felis catus (domestic cat). It matches the Rfam family "tRNA". Rfam says of the family: Transfer RNA (tRNA) molecules are approximately 80 nucleotides in length. Their secondary structure includes four short double-helical elements and three loops (D, anti-codon, and T loops). Further hydrogen bonds mediate the characteristic L-shaped molecular structure. tRNAs have two regions of fundamental functional importance: the anti-codon, which is responsible for specific mRNA codon recognition, and the 3' end, to which the tRNAs corresponding amino acid is attached (by aminoacyl-tRNA synthetases). tRNAs cope with the degeneracy of the genetic code in two manners: having more than one tRNA (with a specific anti-codon) for a particular amino acid; and 'wobble' base-pairing, i.e. permitting non-standard base-pairing at the 3rd anti-codon position. The record is from Rfam by way of RNAcentral. Lineage: Eukaryota; Metazoa; Chordata; Mammalia; Carnivora; Felidae.